UACAGAGGGUGCAAGCGUUGUUCGGAAUUAUUGGGCGUAAAGGGCGCGUAGGCGGUGCGGUAAGUCUGCAGUGAAAUCUCUGGGCUCAACUCAGAGUCUGCUGUAGAAACUGCCGUGCUUGAGUGUGGGAGAGGUGAGUGGAAUUCCCGGUGUAGCGGUGAAAUGCGUAGAUAUCGCUUGGAACGCCAAAGGUGAAAACAGGUCGCUGGGAGUGCGCCGA
RNAcentral lists this ribosomal RNA (220 nucleotides) under uncultured bacterium. RNAcentral describes it as "partial 16S ribosomal RNA". It matches the Rfam family "Bacterial small subunit ribosomal RNA", at positions 524 to 743 of the family's 1533-position model. The record is from RNAcentral.